Molecule: long non-coding RNA, 334 nt
Organism: Branchiostoma floridae (Florida lancelet)
Lineage: Eukaryota; Metazoa; Chordata; Leptocardii; Amphioxiformes; Branchiostomatidae
Exons: 3
Source: RefSeq, a predicted model, not a curated record
GUAAUGACCUGGAGGUCACAGCUGGCAUGGCGCCGGCUACACGUGUUUCUGCGUUUACGUCAGUUUUUGAGCCAUUUUCUUCAUAAAUAAGCAAAGAUCGACUCAUCAUGGCGACUAGAAGUACGGAGAAGAGACCGGAGAACCGACACAGGUUCAAGACGUUCUCGGAGAGGUUAUCUGAGGUGAACAUCGAUGUGGUUCAUCGGAUCAGCAGGGUGCGCGACCCACAGGACAUUGACACAUAUUUUGGAGAGGGAGUUCAGAAGUGGAAAGAGCUGAACUGCACACAGCACUUCUGUAAGUCAGGAUAACAGUGUCCUAUGACCUUGUACCU